AGCGAGAUGGCCGAGUGGCCGAAGGCGCUCCCCUGCUAAGGGAGUAUACCUCACAAGGGUAUCUGGGGUUCGAAUCCCCAUCUCGCUGCCA
This 91-nucleotide transfer RNA is filed under the name Pseudomonas putida. Its description in RNAcentral is "tRNA-Ser". It matches the Rfam family "tRNA". Rfam says of the family: Transfer RNA (tRNA) molecules are approximately 80 nucleotides in length. Their secondary structure includes four short double-helical elements and three loops (D, anti-codon, and T loops). Further hydrogen bonds mediate the characteristic L-shaped molecular structure. tRNAs have two regions of fundamental functional importance: the anti-codon, which is responsible for specific mRNA codon recognition, and the 3' end, to which the tRNAs corresponding amino acid is attached (by aminoacyl-tRNA synthetases). tRNAs cope with the degeneracy of the genetic code in two manners: having more than one tRNA (with a specific anti-codon) for a particular amino acid; and 'wobble' base-pairing, i.e. permitting non-standard base-pairing at the 3rd anti-codon position. The record is from RNAcentral. Lineage: Bacteria; Pseudomonadati; Pseudomonadota; Gammaproteobacteria; Pseudomonadales; Pseudomonadaceae.